CCUACGGGUGGCAGCAGUGAGGAAUAUUGGUCAAUGGACGGAAGUCUGAACCAGCCAUGCCGCGUGCAGGAAGACGGCUCUAUGAGUUGUAAACUGCUUUUGUACAAGGGUAAACCUGAAUACGAGUAUUCAGCUGAAAGUACUGUACGAAUAAGGAACGGCCAACUUCGCGCCAGCAGCCGCGGUAAUACGGAGGAUGCAAGCGUUAUCCGGAUUUAUUGGGUUUAAAGGGUGCGUAGGCGGAUUGAUAAGUUAGAGGUGAAAUGUCCGAGCUUAACUCGGGAACUGCCUCUAAUACUGGUGGUCUAGAGAGUAGAUGAGGGAGGCAGAAUGUAUGGUGUAGCGGUGAAAUGCGUAGAGAUC
RNAcentral lists this ribosomal RNA (363 nucleotides) under uncultured bacterium. RNAcentral describes it as "partial 16S ribosomal RNA". It matches the Rfam family "Bacterial small subunit ribosomal RNA", at positions 338 to 698 of the family's 1533-position model. The record is from RNAcentral.